RNAcentral lists this long non-coding RNA (966 nucleotides) under Hordeum vulgare. RNAcentral describes it as "long non-coding RNA (HVUL_LNC020712)". The record is from RNAcentral. Lineage: Eukaryota; Viridiplantae; Streptophyta; Magnoliopsida; Poales; Poaceae.
AUCUUAACAAUUGAAGAGAAAGCUUAAUGACAAAUGAAUCAUAUACACAAUUAUUUUGAUAAAUAAGAUAUCACUACGGUUUUUAAUUCCAGAAGGAACUAAAGUGAUGUCAUGCAUAUAUUUGUUUAUCAUAUUACCCAUAGUCAGAGACUUUAGAGCAUCUCUAACCCAUCGCCCAAACUAAGUUCCUAAAAUCUUUCUUUUGCUAUUUCUAUUAACCUCUUGCCUGUGAAUUCCAUUUCAACUUAUUUUUACACAACAUAGUAAUUCGAAACUUCACAUGUCCCAACAAUAUUUCAAAUUAAACUUCCAAGUGACGUGAGUAGUAGUUUUGGUGCACACGACACGUGCGGCAAGCAUAAGAGAUCGACUCAAUUACAUGUGUGCAACCACACUAGCUAAAUAAAAAGUUGAUGCAUAAGAGAUAGACUCAAUUAGUUGACUAAUUAAUCAACCACGUACAGAAAGACAACCUAACCGAUAACACGGGAUGUAUCAUCAUCACUUACUAUAGAUAUAUAGUUGCUACUUUACGCUACCCGAUAUGAUAUGUUAAGUUAAUCACGUACCAAUCAUUUAUCCCAUGAUCCAUAAAGAAACGGUUCAUAAAUAUUAUUUUAAUUACAUGAUCCACAUAUUAGAAGUAUAACCAGUUGAAUCAAAAGGUUCAGCUCGUUCCUCCAUCUUCUUGGAUCUUUGCGGCUUGCACCGAAAAUGGCAACCGGUGCCAGAACGAUUGAAUGAAAAGUAGUCAAUUGAAUGGGAAGAACGCCAAAAAUAGCUUUACAUACUUAACUAUGCAGCUCUUCUUUGGAGAGCAGUCAUGUAUACUUUACCUAUUAAGUACAUUUUCUUGUGAACCCAUUUUCUUCAACCUCAAGGCAGUAAGAUAUAUGUAAUCAAUGCUAAAUAAGUAGUGUGAGUCGCACUAGCCCCGGAUAAAAAUUAGUGAUUGCAUAGCAAAUA